RNAcentral lists this ribosomal RNA (465 nucleotides) under Vreelandella stevensii. RNAcentral's name for it is "partial 16S ribosomal RNA". It matches the Rfam family "Bacterial small subunit ribosomal RNA", at positions 338 to 795 of the family's 1533-position model. Lineage: Bacteria; Pseudomonadati; Pseudomonadota; Gammaproteobacteria; Oceanospirillales; Halomonadaceae. The record is from RNAcentral.
CCUACGGGGCGCUGCAGUGGGGAAUAUUGGACAAUGGGCGAAAGCCUGAUCCAGCCAUGCCGCGUGUGUGAAGAAGGCCUUCGGGUUGUAAAGCACUUUCAGUGGGGAAGAAAGCCUUGGGGCUAAUACCCUCGAGGAAGGACAUCACCCACAGAAGAAGCACCGGCUAACCCCGUGCCAGCAGCCGCGGUAAUACGGAGGGUGCGAGCGUUAAUCGGAAUUACUGGGCGUAAAGCGCGCGUAGGCGGUCUGAUAAGCCGGUUGUGAAAGCCCCGGGCUCAACCUGGGAACGGCAUCCGGAACUGUCAGGCUAGAGUGCAGGAGAGGAAGGUAGAAUUCCCGGUGUAGCGGUGAAAUGCGUAGAGAUCGGGAGGAAUACCAGUGGCGAAGGCGGCCUUCUGGACUGACACUGACGCUGAGGUGCGAAAGCGUGGGUAGCAAACAGGAUUAGAUACCCGAGUAGUC